UUUAGACUAGUGACCUUGUUUUAAAGCAUCUUUUGUUUGUCAGUAAAUCUAGAACAAUGACUACACGACCUUUGCCUAGUUCCAUUACAGAAUGCUGUGAUACCAGUGAUCAUCCACUUCAUAAGCCUCCAAAUAUUCUGAACAGGGAAUUUAUAAGAUCUAUCAAUACCAGUAAUUCUACAUUCAGAAAUUGUUUACAAAAUUUGCUUUCCAUUUACCACCCCCUCCAUAUCUUUACUUCCAUGAACACAUCGAAAGACACUGCAAAUUUUCAGAGUUCACAUUUUCCAUGAUGGCUAUCUAUUUGUAAUCCAAAACGUCCACAUAUUCCAAUACGGGAACACAGAUGCAAUAACAUAAACCUAUUUCCAUGCAAUCUCAUCAUCAAACCUGAUAAGCCGCCAAAGCAACUAAUAUCAAACACUUAGGCUUGGGGUGUGUAGUGAACAGUUUUAAUAUAAAAAUUAAACCAAACCAAUUUGGUUCAGUUUUCGGGUUAUACGGUUUGGUUCAGUUAGUAUUUUAAGAAACUUCAAUUUCUGGUUCAAUUCAGUUAUUUUCACCAAAAAACCAACAAUGAACUGAACCAACCAAUUAAGGGCGUUGUUCUAUUCUGUUUUGAGUGUUGUCCCCAAAGCCACUAGCCUAGGUUCUAAAUUCCUAAACAUAAAGAAACUCAACCCAUGUACAUUCUCCAUAAACAUUCUCAUUUGCUAUUUCAUUUCAGCAGCCUUUUCUAACCCAAAAGCACACAACUUUUUUUUUUCCACCUUUCUUCAUUUUUCAUCAUUUCUUUGCGCCAUCUACCAGCAGUGAUGGCCAUCACCCACCCAAAGGCCAAAGGCCAAAGGCCUUCCGUCCUCGCCACAACGACUCCCCAGAGACCGACAUAGUUCUUUCCUUCCGUUAUCUUUGAUUUUCCCUCAUCCUUUCCCUUCAACUUCAACCCUAAGAUUAGUCAUCACUAAUAUCCUAAGCGCUGAAUCCCUAAUUCAUGCAUUGAUCGAUUUUCUCCCUUCAAUGUUCAAAUAUCAGUUUCCCAGUUGAAGUCAAAUCACCAUUGUUCUUGGGUCCUCGCGAUGGACCUUGAACCUUGCUCAUCUCGAUGCUGCAGCUGCUGCGAUGCACAUUUGUAGCUUUUCCAAUGUUCGAAUGCCAUGGUUUGAGAUCUCUCUACAUAGGAUGUUAUGAUAAUAAGGAGAACAAGAGCUGAGAGAAUAUAGGAUAAUAUAUUGUAUAAAUUGGUAGCAUUGUAACCGAUUUCAGUAGUCAAGAAUUCAAUAAUAUAACAAUUCUUUCUCUCUCAAAUUCGCUCUCUCUCUCUCUACUUCUUUCACGUUCUUUCUCUUUUCUUCUCUGUUCUGCUUUCUUUUCCCUGUUGGUCUUCCUUUCCCUCCUUCAAUUCAGAAUUUUGGAGAGUUCAUAACACGGGACUACAGCAGCUUCAAGGUCUCUCUCUCCACAAAAAUUGUUGAAAUUUUGAGAAUUUUUUUUGAAAUAUUUUCUUAAAACCUGUAUAUUUAUCAUUUGAAUUUGUUAUAUGAUGUAAAUUUGAUAAUUUUAUGGGAUUGAUCAAGUUUGUUUUAUGAUGAAUGGCACUGAGAAUCUAGGGUUGGGACUAGGCAUUGGGUACUGGCUGGGCAGUGGUGCUAACAGCAUCAUUGGAAGUGUUUGACAUUCUGUUCAAAACUGGCAACUUUAUGGUUCGGUUCGAUUUUCAUUUUAUAGGAUUUCAGUAAUUGAGAUUUUGUAGUGCAGUUCAGAGGCAAAUUAACUGAUUGCACACCCCUAACUUAGGCCAUUCUAGGUCUAUAUGAUUUUAACUUCACCUUCCCGCCAUUGGCUGUAAACUCAAUAUACAUGCUCUCUCCCCCAUAGUUAUUAAAGGCACAAUGCACACUAAGGCGCCAAGGGUCCUAGAGCCUAAGAGCAAGGCGUGUGCCUCAAUGAGGCGAGCAGGAAAAUUUUUUUUAAAAAAUAUUCCAUUAGAAGUCAAAUAAAUGUGAAUAUUUC
RNAcentral lists this unclassified non-coding RNA (2013 nucleotides) under Hevea brasiliensis (rubber tree). Lineage: Eukaryota; Viridiplantae; Streptophyta; Magnoliopsida; Malpighiales; Euphorbiaceae. The record is from RNAcentral.